AACUGAUACUACCUGCGGGAACCUGCGGAAGGAUCAUUACCGAGUUUACAACUCCCAAACCCCUGUGAACAUACCAAUUGUUGCCUCGGCGGAUCAGCCCGCUCCCGGUAAAACGGGACGGCCCGCCAGAGGACCCCUAAACUCUGUUUCUAUAUGUAACUUCUGAGUAAAACCAUAAAUAAAUCAAAACUUUCAGCAAUGGAUCUCU
RNAcentral lists this unclassified non-coding RNA (208 nucleotides) under soil metagenome. RNAcentral describes it as "partial contains 5.8S ribosomal RNA, internal transcribed spacer 2, and large subunit ribosomal RNA". The record is from RNAcentral.